This 522-nucleotide unclassified non-coding RNA is filed under the name Hevea brasiliensis (rubber tree). Lineage: Eukaryota; Viridiplantae; Streptophyta; Magnoliopsida; Malpighiales; Euphorbiaceae. The record is from RNAcentral.
CUGGGUGACGUCCUCUGCUAUGUCGACGGUGUCAAUUUCUUCUUCUUCUUCUUCCUCCUGCUCACCUCCUCAAAGAAACCAAGAUGCUGCACAAAGAGACUCGAGCACCAAAACCCACCACACCCUCUUUCUAUCUCUAAAGAUAGAUCCUUGUGAUCCAAUCCAGAUCAGACAAACCCAAGUACAUGCAUGUGGGGGUGUGAAACAAACAAAGAAUAUUUUAAAGAAAACCCGAAAAGAGUUACAAUAGGAAGACCAGAAGUGGGGAAUCUGGUAAAGAAAUAGAAAGGAUACAGAGACAAGAAAGGAAUACAGGAAAGCAACAAAACCCCAUCACACAACCGAACCCCAAAAACGAAACAGUAAAAAGAAAAAAAUCUCUUUUUUAACCCUUAUGUAUUGCAAAAAGUAAAAAAAUCCAACAGAAGAAUCAGACUGUUACACCACUUGUAAAAGUAUUUCAUACAGAGAAAGCCAGAGCUCCAAAGAAAUAGAGAAAAGGGACGAGUAAAAUAACAAAAA